UCCGCAGCCGGGCCCCGAGCGAGCUCCGCGCCGCCGGCCGGGAGCCCGGGGCUCACGAGUUCAAAGGGCCGCGGCCCCGAGGGGAUGCCCUCCUCGCUGUGCCCCGGGGGGCAGAAGCGGACCGCAGGGCGGUGGGACCGGCCCGGGCCACGAUUAUUGAGCACCUAUCGUGUGUACACAUGGUGCUGGGUUCUGGGAUGCAAUAGUAAAACAGAAAUAGUCUCUGAACAGAGCAGGAAAACUGCAGUCACAGAGCAAUUGCAUGAAGUGCCUGAGAAGUCAUCGUCCAGGAAUUGGGAGCAUGGGUAAAGAGCCACCGUCCACGAUGUGAAGACUUCCUGUGGGGAGCCAUUUUUAAAUUGAUGCUCAAGGGAUGUGCAGAAGCGAGCCGGAAGAAAACAGAGUUUGGAAGAGAAAAGGUCAUCUGUGAAACAGACGGAGCGCGUGGCAGACAGGCUGAGGGAAGUCCAGGCGGGCAGGAGGGCUGGGGUGCUGCAGGGCAGGGAGGGCUGGGGGGCAGAGCUCCAGGGAAGAGUUCACUCCUGAGGAAGGACACCAGGGCUCAGGGGGCCAGCUGUUGCUUUGGAAACAAAGGAAAGACAGUACCUGGGAAGCUAUUUGGGGAAAAGGUGUUCUUUUCCCUAAAUCUCAUCAAGAUUAGUUUGAGUUCAAAUAAUUACAAUAGUCUUUUGAAGUAGCUUCAGAACUUAAGAAAAGAGGACAUUAGAGAUUCAAGAAUAUACCAAACAUUUAUAUCCAUGCAUCCCCCUCCCUAGAUAGGGACCACAAUAUGGGAUAUGGGCAGACUAGCUGGGUGUAAUGGACUUUACUCUCUCUGGAAACUAGCAGAGGUUCACUUGGUGCAGAGAUUUUUUUUUUUUCUUUAAAGGCACUCCUUUCAGCAUCAGGCCCAUACAGCUGAGAGAUACCACAGAAAACACCUUUCCAGAUAUAAAAGUAUCCAUAACUGGGGUAGUUGACUCAAAAUAACAAUGAUGACAACAACAGAGCAGUAAUGACCUAGAUUGAGCACUCACUAUGCAUCAGAGACUGUGCCAUGCACUGUGAUUUUCUGUGAUCCUUACAGCAGCUGGAGGAGGACUGAUGGGCUAAACAGACUAAAUGCUUGGCUGUAGGCAUCCCUGUGGAAGACUCCAGCAGACCCACAUGUCCUACGGUUCAACUUUUCAAACCUACCUCUUUGUAAUUCCUAAGUAGGAGUCUGAGCUCUGUUGUCAUAUUUCAGUUUUACAGUUUCUCUGAAAUAUUUUGAUCCAAAUAUGCCCUUAGAGUCAUGCUUUAUUAAUGCGAUAUGACUCAUAUUAGUGACUGCUUGUUCUUCAGCCAUAUGCCCUGAAUAAGUUAUCGGGUUUCAUUGUUUACCCUAAGUUUAAAAAAAAAUUCCAUGCUCUCCGACCUAAACCCUGCUCAUGCAGUUAAAACAAGAAAACUAGUUAUCUGAUAUCAUGAAGGCAAAUCAGCUUGUAGAAGUCCUCAGAUGUUUCCAUUUCCACUGGUGUGAGGGCAUUGUGGGAGCCAUGGAUUAUUCAUCAAGAAAGCAGAGGAGAGAAUUUCUCUUUUGUUUGUUUGUUGAUUUCCAAAGUAAACCCAAGUAUGAAGAGA
This is a long non-coding RNA of Cervus elaphus (red deer), 1623 nucleotides long. RefSeq lists it as uncharacterized. The record is from RefSeq and is a predicted model, not a curated record. The transcript is spliced from 4 exons. NCBI's taxonomy places the organism in Eukaryota, Metazoa, Chordata, Mammalia, Artiodactyla, Cervidae.